This 352-nucleotide long non-coding RNA is filed under the name Sorghum bicolor (sorghum). RNAcentral's name for it is "long non-coding RNA (SBIC_LNC017293)". The record is from RNAcentral. Lineage: Eukaryota; Viridiplantae; Streptophyta; Magnoliopsida; Poales; Poaceae.
GGGCCAGGGGGCCUCGCUUAUAUAGUCCUCCCCUUCUAUGCGUUUUUGGGUCGAUAGCCGAGGUGGUACUAUGUUUUUCUUGAUCCAAUAGGUCGGUGGAAUAUCCCGAGCGAAGGAGUCCUGAAUUGGCUCCAGCAGGGGGGCGGGCGCCCAGGCUGCCAGGGCGGGCGCCCUGGGCCUGGCCCAGCUUCGCCUCCGCUUCGGUCUCGUGGCUUCUGGAGUCUUCUAGAUGAUGUAAAAUUGCGCGGUGCGUUAAUAUCUCUAUGUAAUCCCGACAUGUGGGCCUUUCUUCCUUAUUUCCUGAUAACCCCCUGCAGAAACAGAUAAACAACAAAACUCGUGGAAUUCUGUC